This is a long non-coding RNA of Suncus etruscus (white-toothed pygmy shrew), 795 nucleotides long. RefSeq lists it as uncharacterized. The transcript is spliced from 2 exons. NCBI's taxonomy places the organism in Eukaryota, Metazoa, Chordata, Mammalia, Eulipotyphla, Soricidae. The record is from RefSeq and is a predicted model, not a curated record.
CUGGGGAGGGGUGUGGGGGCCAGGGGGCUCUGAGAGACAGAGCCCGGCACCCCUCCAUGCCUGCCCCACGCCCUCGCCUCCACUGCUCUCACCUCCCAUGCGUCCUUGUGCAGUGCUCGCUCAGAAGCAUCCCCCAGGGCGCGGGGCUCGGACUUUCCUUCGGGGACCUCCCACCCCACCCUCGACGCCCCCUGCCCAGCCAGGCCCGUGCUGUGCAUUCCCUCUCCAUCGUCUGGUUUGCUCAGUCGCAUCUUCCCCGACAAACGAGGCGUUGGCGCGAGGGGAACCUGUGCCUGGACCGUUUCCCUGGCCCUGCUGGUGGGCGCUGGGGCCUCUGCCCCAGGUUUUGUUUCUUGGGGCUGUGCUGCUUCAGAUGGCCACUAGGGGGCCAUCCUAGGCUGCUGCUGCCCUACUCGGGGCAGGAAUGGUGCCAAUGAGUGAUGGAGGGAGUGCCUCUUCUCUCCUCGGGAGGAAAGAGGACAGUGCCUUCCUUGGCUGGACACAAAGGCCAAAGCUGCAGGAGUGGGGGGGUGUGUGUCUCUGCCCCAGGCAGGGUGUUGGUGACGAAUUAAUUUGGAGUGGCCUCGGAAAUCCGCGGGACUUGGGGUUUUAGGGCUGGGGGCAGUGUGCUGCGCAGGUGGCUGCAGAAUUCGGAGCCCUGUAGACUUUGGCAGGUAAGAGUGUCCAAGGUAAGAAUGAAAGCCCACGGGCACAGGCAUUCUAUAUAUACGUGGCUCAUUAGGUGUUUAUUUUGUUCUACUUAAGAAUUUGUUUUAUUAAAUUAAUAUAAAAAUC